CACGUAGGGGGCAAGCGUUGUCCGGAUUUAUUGGGCGUAAAGAGCUCGUAGGCGGCUCAGUAAGUCAGGUGUGAAACCUCCAGGCUCAACCUGGAGACGCCACCUGAUACUGCUGUGGCUAGAGUCCGGUAGGGGAGCGUGGAAUUCCUGGUGUAGCGGUGAAAUGCGCAGAUAUCAGGAGGAACACCGAUUGCGAAGGCAGCUCGCUGGGACGUCACUGACGCUGAGACGCGAAAGCGUGGGGAGCAAACAGG
RNAcentral lists this ribosomal RNA (254 nucleotides) under uncultured bacterium. RNAcentral's name for it is "partial 16S ribosomal RNA". It matches the Rfam family "Bacterial small subunit ribosomal RNA", at positions 524 to 776 of the family's 1533-position model. The record is from RNAcentral.